GAGAAAGCCAAAGCUUUGGGCAUGGACUUCACUCCUUUAGAGGCUACUGUUGAAGACACUAUUGAAAGCUUGAAGGAGAAAGGCUACCUUGAAGUCUGAUCUGAAUAAUGGAUUUUUUUUUAUUAUUAUUUUUAAUACUUACAGUCAAAUAUUUUUGAGGCAAUUUAUGCGAAUUAAACUAAAACUCUUCUUAAUAAUGUAUUCUACUUUAGAAUUGCAAUCUACCAACAUCAUAUAAUUUAUUAUUAUUGCAUUUG
RNAcentral lists this unclassified non-coding RNA (257 nucleotides) under Hevea brasiliensis (rubber tree). The record is from RNAcentral. Lineage: Eukaryota; Viridiplantae; Streptophyta; Magnoliopsida; Malpighiales; Euphorbiaceae.